RNAcentral lists this long non-coding RNA (1366 nucleotides) under Nicotiana tabacum (common tobacco). RNAcentral's name for it is "long non-coding RNA (NTAB_LNC012619)". The record is from RNAcentral. Lineage: Eukaryota; Viridiplantae; Streptophyta; Magnoliopsida; Solanales; Solanaceae.
CGGAUAUUCAGGCCCAAACGGUAUCCAAAUGAAUUAUGUUUGAUCAAUUAUUCAAACGAGCGUGAAUGAAUUAGCUUAGCCUCAAUCAUGGCCAGAAAAGUUUUUAACCAUCCAUUUGCAGCUUAAACUCAAAAAAAAAGAUGGCAAAAGCAAAUUCAAGUAGGGUCACAACUAAAUUUAGAUAUACAUAAAAAUUGUGUUAACAUUUCUUCAAAGUACAACAAAUAUUCGCGGAUAUAGUUUAGCUAUAUAUAUUGAUUUCAAUCUGCUUAGAUCACCGAAUACGCCACGGGUUCACUUUCAAGUUCCAACGAGAAACUCUCAUUUGCCUCCUGACAUUUAUGUGCAAUUUACCUAAAACUAGGUGAGCAAGAAAAAAUUAUAAAAGAAAGUGUCAAUGCUUUAAUUUCCAACACCAAUCAACACAUAUGCUGUUCCAACACAAUUUUUGAUUAGAAUGUCUAAAACACUAAUUAUUCAAUUUCAGAAACCGUUUGAAGGGCAUAUAACUCACAACAUCAUGGCAGCACUUGCAACUUUACAAGAAUAACAAAUAAUUAUAAAGUUGGCAUUGCUCCGUUCUUUAUAUUUGCUCAAAAAUAUUUAUAAUCAAACAUAGUUCAAUAAACCAAUUUCGCAUUGCAGUACAGAUUAUUGAAAGUAACUUCUUCAAAAUUGCCUCCAAACAAACAAACAAAAAUAAAUAAAUAAAUAAAUAAAUCACAGCAACCCAAUGAACAAAUUCAAAAUAUAUACCUCAUCAUAUGAAACAACUAAAUCUUAACAGAAGUAGGAAUUUAUCCUCAAGCAAGUAUAGGAUUAUAAACAAAGACAAAAUUGAGUUACUCAUCAAUCUCACAAAUUAGCACGACAAAAUGGGAUUCUGUGGGUACCUUAAAUGCAAAGGGGGAAAGCAGAAUGACAAAAACCAAAUAAAGGUAAGGAGAAGAAGCAGGAAACUCGGCGCACAGGGACAGCAACAAACAGCAAAUUCUUAUACCAACACAGCUCGAGAAUCUCAGAAAGUAAGCAAUAACUGAGUUCGGACAGCUAUAUAAACGAAGACUCCAACGCAACCUCAAAACUUCGACCUCUGACUUUACCCGGAAUCUCAAAGACAGAAAGAAACAGAUUGGUAAGGAGGGAGCCAAUCUUCACAUGAUUUUUGGGACUAUUUCAAGAUUGUUUCAUGGCUGAAGUUUGUGACGGAUUUUUCAGUUGUGAUUUCGGGAGUUUUGGAGCUAGAAUUUGGGUAUUUACAUGGCUGAGAAGAGAGUGUUUCUGGGCGAAAAAGUAAGGAAGAAGAAGAGGGGUCUAGGUAUUCAUAGGGUAUUAUAGGUUAAAGGGGUACGAGCCUAGCUUGGAA